This is a long non-coding RNA of Solanum pennellii, 326 nucleotides long. RefSeq lists it as uncharacterized. Lineage: Eukaryota; Viridiplantae; Streptophyta; Magnoliopsida; Solanales; Solanaceae. The transcript is spliced from 2 exons. The record is from RefSeq and is a predicted model, not a curated record.
UAGUUAAUUACUCUUGUGUUAGCACAAAACUUGGAAAAAGAAAAUGGAGAAGGCACCAUUCCUUAAGGUUUUCUUGAUUUUCUUUUUGCUUAUGUUGUUUGGAGAAGAAAGCCACGCGGAAAUAAGAUGCACUAAGGAUGCUGAUUGUGCUAAUCUGAGAUGUGCAGAAACACAACCCAAAUGUGACUUGGCAAAACAUCAAUGCAUCUGUCCAACCCCACCAAAUUGUGGAACAAAAAGGGUUCAUAAGACUGACCAAAAAUGAUUUACAAUGUUUGUUAUUCAUAUGCAAAAUUGAACCAUACUUUAUAUAUUUCCUUUUCAUA